This 433-nucleotide ribosomal RNA is filed under the name uncultured bacterium. RNAcentral describes it as "partial 16S ribosomal RNA". It matches the Rfam family "Bacterial small subunit ribosomal RNA", at positions 29 to 507 of the family's 1533-position model. The record is from RNAcentral.
AACGAACGCUGGCGGCAUGCCUAACACAUGCAAGUCGAACGAGACCUUCGGGUCUAGUGGCGCACGGGUGCGUAACGCGUGGGAACCUGCCCUUAGGUUCGGAAUAACUCCCCGAAAGGGGUGCUAAUACCGGAUAAUGUCUUCGGACCAAAGAUUUAUCGCCUUUGGAUGGGCCCGCGUUGGAUUAGCUAGUUGGUAGGGUAAAAGCCUACCAAGGCGACGAUCCAUAGCUGGUCUGAGAGGAUGAUCAGCCACACUGGGACUGAGACACGGCCCAGACUCCGACGGGAGGCAGCAGUGGGGAAUAUUGGACAAUGGGCGAAAGCCUGAGCCAGCAAUGCCGCGUGAGUGAUGAAGGCCUUAGGGUUGUAAAGCUCUUUUACCCGGGAUGAUAAUGACAGUACCGGGAGAAUAAGCUCCGGCUAACUCCGUG